AGAAUGACCCUCUUGCUUUUGCAUGGAUCCCUGGCUCUGCAUGGUUCACUCAGAGGUUCCUUGGUAGCUAAGGCUCAUCAUAGUCUUGGACCAGCUCAAGCAGUGAAAUGAACACUGAUAGAAUACCCAGGAUCGUCCCACCAUCAGAUCUGUGUUGCCACACACCAUGUGUUCCACCUGUAGACCAGAAGCUGCACUUAUCCCAGGAGAGCCAUGAACAGAGCACAAUGUGUUUGUAGGUAAUCAAAAGGUUGGACUUUCCUGAUUUAAAGCUAAGAGGACCUCACAUGAAUUUGGCAAUGUGAUGCCACAGUAGUCUUAAGAUGCAGAAAAACAGCACUGGGGAGACAGCUCAAUCAAUAAAGUGCUCUCCACUCCAAGUGUGAGAGCCGGAGUUCCACCAACACCUGUGUAAAAGCUGGAUGAAACAUGAUUCUCUGUACAUAUGUGCAAGCACACCCACACACAUGAACA
This 474-nucleotide long non-coding RNA is filed under the name Mus musculus (house mouse). Its description in RNAcentral is "elncRNA-EC20". Lineage: Eukaryota; Metazoa; Chordata; Mammalia; Rodentia; Muridae. The record is from RNAcentral.